RNAcentral lists this ribosomal RNA (479 nucleotides) under uncultured organism. RNAcentral's name for it is "partial 16S ribosomal RNA". It matches the Rfam family "Bacterial small subunit ribosomal RNA", at positions 329 to 799 of the family's 1533-position model. The record is from RNAcentral.
ACGUACACUCCUACGGGAGGCAGCAGUGGGGAAUAUUGCACAAUGGGCGCAAGCCUGAUGCAGCCAUGCCGCGUGUAUGAAGAAGGCCUUCGGGUUGUAAAGUACUUUCAGCGGGGAGGAAGGCGAUAAGGUUAAUAACCUUGUUGAUUGACGUUACCCGCAGAAGAAGCACCGGCUAACUCCGUGCCAGCAGCCGCGGUAAUACGGAGGGUGCAAGCGUUAAUCGGAAUUACUGGGCGUAAAGCGCACGCAGGCGGUCUGUCAAGUCGGAUGUGAAAUCCCCGGGCUCAACCUGGGAACUGCAUUCGAAACUGGCAGGCUAGAGUCUUGUAGAGGGGGGUAGAAUUCCAGGUGUAGCGGUGAAAUGCGUAGAGAUCUGGAGGAAUACCGGUGGCGAAGGCGGCCCCCUGGACAAAGACUGACGCUCAGGUGCGAAAGCGUGGGGAGCAAACAGGAUUAGAUACCCUAGUAGUCCCAUG